AGUGGUGUGGCUCAAGUGGUCGAGUACCUGCCUAGCAAGCAUGAGGCCCUGAGUUCAAACCCCAGUACUUCCA
This 73-nucleotide transfer RNA is filed under the name Dipodomys ordii (Ord's kangaroo rat). It matches the Rfam family "tRNA". Rfam says of the family: Transfer RNA (tRNA) molecules are approximately 80 nucleotides in length. Their secondary structure includes four short double-helical elements and three loops (D, anti-codon, and T loops). The record is from Rfam by way of RNAcentral. Lineage: Eukaryota; Metazoa; Chordata; Mammalia; Rodentia; Heteromyidae.